AAAAGAAAAGAAAGGAAGUGAGACGGAAGGAGGGUCGAGAAGGACAAAGAGAGUGGGAGGGAGGGAGGAAGGAAGGGAAUCUUAUGUUCUAGAUUUUUAUCUACCAGGAGAUUCCAAGAUGGCAGAAUAGGGAAUGGUAUACUGCACUAGGCUAGGGAUAAAUAGAGGGAAAAAGAGUACAAGAAGUGCACUCUUCAGGGAGAAUGAGAGAGAAAACUAUACUGGAAAGUCUACAAAAGGAAAAGGAAGACCAUGGGCCUUUGUGGAAGGUGCAGAUGUGAAGAACAAACACGGACAUAAAACACAACUGCAGCAGCCAAGUGCAGGGAUUGGAUGGCAGCUUGGAGGUGGAGGAGCACUGGUGGGACCACAAUCAAAGCUACUUAAGGAAGACAUCACACAGAGCUUUUUGUCUUGGAGGAACAUGGAACAGAAGAGGAAGAAAGUAAAGGUAGAAUAA
Molecule: long non-coding RNA, 460 nt
Organism: Oryctolagus cuniculus (rabbit)
Lineage: Eukaryota; Metazoa; Chordata; Mammalia; Lagomorpha; Leporidae
Source: Ensembl